UACGUAGGGAGCAAGCGUUAUCCGGAUUUAUUGGGUGUAAAGGGUGCGUAGACGGGAAUGCAAGUUAGUUGUGAAAUCCCUCGGCUUAACUGAGGAACUGCAACUAAAACUACAUUUCUUGAGUGCUGGAGAGGAAAGUGGAAUUCCUAGUGUAGCGGUGAAAUGCGUAGAUAUUAGGAGGAACACCAGUGGCGAAGGCGACUUUCUGGACAGUAACUGACGUUGAGGCACGAAAGUGUGGGGAGCAAGCAGG
RNAcentral lists this ribosomal RNA (253 nucleotides) under uncultured bacterium. Its description in RNAcentral is "partial 16S ribosomal RNA". It matches the Rfam family "Bacterial small subunit ribosomal RNA", at positions 524 to 776 of the family's 1533-position model. The record is from RNAcentral.